RNAcentral lists this ribosomal RNA (1044 nucleotides) under Triticum aestivum (bread wheat). Its description in RNAcentral is "partial small subunit ribosomal RNA". Lineage: Eukaryota; Viridiplantae; Streptophyta; Magnoliopsida; Poales; Poaceae. The record is from RNAcentral.
AUGAUCAAUAAAUAUGAUCUUCAGGACAAUGAAUGGCUUGCUGGAUUAUAUGAUAAUAAAAAUCGAUGGGUGCCAGCAUAUGUAAAAGAUACAUUUUGGGCAGGAAUGUCUUCAACACAAAGGAGUGAGAGUAUGAAUUCUUUCUUUGAUGGCUAUGUCAAUGCUAGAACAACUUUGAAGCAAUUUGUGGAUCAAUAUGAAAAUGCAUUAAGAUACAAGGUAGAGAAAGAAAACAAAGCUGAUUCUAAGUCGUUCCAAGAGGAAAUUCCAUGCAUUACUCACUAUGACUUUGAAAAGCAAUUUCAAGCAGCAUAUACCAAUGCAAAGUUUCAAGAGUUUCAAGAGCAAUUAAGGGGUAAAAUCUAUUGCUAUCCAUCUCUGCUGAACAAACAAGGGUCACUUUUCUCAUUUGGAGUCAGUGAGGACCGCAAGAUUUUUUUUGAAGGGGAGGAUGGCGAGAUUAAAGAGAAAUGGAUUGCUUCAGAGUUCACGGUCUUGUUCAACCAAGAGGAAUGUGAUGUGCAGUGUAUUUGUAGACUUUUUGAAUUUCGAGGCAUCUUGUGUAGCCAUAUCAUUUCUGUGCUUGCUCUCAUGAAGAUUAGAGAUGUACCUUCUAGGUAUAUAUUGCAGCGAUGGAGAAAGGAUUUUAAGCGCAAACACACAUUUAUUAAAUGCUCCUAUGGUGAUAUGCUGAAUACACCAGUCGUGCAGCGUUAUGAUGAUUUGUGCAAGCGUUCCCGCGAAGUGGCAGAGAAAGGUGCAGAGUCUGAUACAUUGCGUGACUUGGUGAUGGAUGGCCUUGAUGAGUUAGAAAGAAAGAUUGAGGCAUAUUGUGCCAGCCAAGAUGUUCAGGAAGAUGGUCCAACUUCAAAGCAAGAAGAUACAAUGCUAAAUAAAGAAAAACUUGUACUCAGUCCAAUCCCUGUUCGCAGUGAGCUACAAACAAAUGAACCUGCUACACCAACUCAUAUCAUGUCUUACAUUGAUAUUCUCCAGGGAAAGAAAGAUGUCAUGGACUUGCUCGCUGCUAAUCUGAAUGGAUGA